CGGCACGGGUGAGUAACACGUAUCCAACCUGCCGUCUACUCUUGGACAGCCUUCUGAAAGGAAGAUUAAUACAAGAUGGCAUCAUGAGUUCACAUGUUCACAUGAUUAAAGGUAUUCCGGUAGACGAUGGGGAUGCGUUCCAUUAGGCAGUUGGUGGGGUAACGGCCCACCAAACCUUCGAUGGAUAGGGGUUCUGAGAGGAAGGUCCCCCACAUUGGAACUGAGACACGGUCCAA
This 236-nucleotide ribosomal RNA is filed under the name uncultured bacterium. RNAcentral describes it as "partial 16S ribosomal RNA". It matches the Rfam family "Bacterial small subunit ribosomal RNA", at positions 100 to 334 of the family's 1533-position model. The record is from RNAcentral.